UUAAAUAAUAAUAAUAAUGAUAUUAUAUUUUAUCUAGAAAAAUUCUCACAAUUGAGCUUUUACAAAAUGAUGCCCUGUAAAUAAUUUUUAUGUGGGACAUCUUUCAUAUUAAAUUGAUGAAACUACCCUCUGUCCUCCACGAGUCCCCUCCGUCGCCCCUGCUCUCACCGCGAAUGGUGUCGUCCGUCCUCCCUUCCCCCACCUCCCUAGCCGCCCGCCCCUUCUCGCUGGUGGCCUGCCAUGGGCGACGAUCGCACGGGUGUCGCAGGUGAGGGUUGCGACGAAAGGGCCGCUUCGGAUGGCGAGUAGUGGCUGAAUCGAUGGCGUAGCGAUGGGAGAUGGCCUCGUGGGUGACGCACCACGGUACCUAGCGACGGGAUCCGCCCUCUCGUCCUCGCUAUUCGCGACGAGGUUGUCGCGUUUUCCCUCGACAUUCAUGACCACGAGUUGGUCACUCGCGACACAAAACGGAGAAUUGGCUGCGGAUAGCUGUUGCUGGCCGCGGCAAGGAUGAGAAAGACAGGCGACGAGGGAUUGAAGAUGGCGAUGAAGACGGGGAGUGGUGGACGGCGAGGCGAGCAAAGCCGCGGAUGCGAUCGGGGGAGGAGGAGGAGGAAGGGAGGGGAAGGGGAAGGUAGAUGGCGACGGAUGACGCUGCACGUGGUAGGAGCGAGCGUAGAACCGACGAUUGAUGAUUAGUGUAAUUACGCUACGAUGAUGAUGUAAUAAUAAUAUAACGAGAUUUAAAAUGGGCAUAUAUCGAUAAACAUUAAUUUUCUUUCUUUAUUUAGGUCACGUCCUAACUACAGGUGUAUUAAACUCGGUGCCUUCGCCACAGAGCUAACUGGUGGAGGGGCAGAAGGUA
This 865-nucleotide long non-coding RNA is filed under the name Musa acuminata (dwarf banana). RNAcentral's name for it is "long non-coding RNA (MACU_LNC000773)". Lineage: Eukaryota; Viridiplantae; Streptophyta; Magnoliopsida; Zingiberales; Musaceae. The record is from RNAcentral.